UUCUUUUGGCGCUUGCACCUGAGCAUAGGAGGCUGCGUUAUCCACUUGAUAAGACGAAAAACGACAUGGAGUGAAUUAAACAAGUUCUGUAUUCAUUAUUGCUUAUACUGACUAUAUCCUGUUGUAAUAUAGAGAGUAAAAGAGAGCUGUGCCUGAAUCCACUGUUGUCACGGAGCUAAAGGCAGUGAAUUCUGCUAAAAUGGUCAGGUUUUGGUAAAGAGUUGGAAACAUUGUGCGGAGAUCCUUUCCAUGGAAUGCUACAGAUCCCCACGUUCCAGGCGCUCUUCCAGAGAUCCAUAGAUUCCCAGUCCGGGUGGCUGGGUGGCGAGCCAACCGUGUUUGUGACUCUGACUUUAGACGGAUUGCCAGGAUCAUCUUCUUCAUCUUCAUGGUGGUAGGACAAACACUAACACGAACUAAAAAGGGCCCAACGUUGGUGACUGACCUCUUGUCAACAAAGGCAAGUGAAACUGAGGACGAACUAAGCUCAAGGGAAUUUAAAAGGGGAUUUAUUUAGGUGCGCAGUUUAUUAUUCUAGUUUGUUAUUUUUCAUAACUGUUUUUUGUAUAUGUAUGUACCAGCCCAUGUGUGUGUUAUACAUUUUAUGCAAAUUGUCA
This is a long non-coding RNA of Ictalurus punctatus (channel catfish), 617 nucleotides long. RefSeq lists it as uncharacterized. NCBI's taxonomy places the organism in Eukaryota, Metazoa, Chordata, Actinopteri, Siluriformes, Ictaluridae. The record is from RefSeq and is a predicted model, not a curated record. The transcript is spliced from 2 exons.